RNAcentral lists this long non-coding RNA (576 nucleotides) under Vigna radiata. RNAcentral describes it as "long non-coding RNA (VRAD_LNC005752)". Lineage: Eukaryota; Viridiplantae; Streptophyta; Magnoliopsida; Fabales; Fabaceae. The record is from RNAcentral.
UGCUUUAAUUGUGAUAUAGUAGUUUUCAAUGAUUCACCCAAAGAAACAUAUUUCAAAUUAUGUGGGUGUGAAAAUUGUAAUAUCCCAAAAAUAUAAGUAUAUUUAUAUCAUGUGGAAUGCAACAUAUUAUAAUAAUAGAAAGCAGUUAAGAGUAGUAACAGAUGAAGUAAAUAGUUACAAUCAUCCAAAAUAUGGUGUAAGCUCUACUUAUAGCAUAGAGUCUUUCAAAAUGAAAUAAAAGAAAAGGAACUAAGCUGUAUACAUAAAACUAACAGCCUAAACUACUCAGCUGCAGUGUCAGGGACUUCAACAGCUACGUCUAAGACCUGCUCCAGAGGGCCUCUGAAAUCUCUGCUCACAUCCAAAUAGGAUGAUCAUUGCAAAAGAAAACAACACAAACAAAAACAAACAACACACAUGCAAGGGUAAGCUAGAAUUCAAUUGAAAACAAGUCAAUGACAGUUAAACAUAGCAAAAUAGACAUACAAGCAAUUACAAUCACAGAGGAACAGUUUUAGUAAAUUAUAAGUUGUGGUUUUAUUAGGUGGUGUUAGUUUUAGACUCGUCCGGACCCGG